RNAcentral lists this ribosomal RNA (226 nucleotides) under uncultured bacterium. RNAcentral describes it as "partial 16S ribosomal RNA". It matches the Rfam family "Bacterial small subunit ribosomal RNA", at positions 118 to 340 of the family's 1533-position model. The record is from RNAcentral.
UGAGGAACAUGACCUUCGGCGGGGGAUAGCCGGCCCAACGGCCGGGUAAUACCGCGUACGACCACUCGGGGACAUCCCCAGGUGGUGAAAGCAGCAAUGCGCCGAAAGAGUGCCUCGCGGCCUAUCAGCUAGUUGGUGGGGUAAUGGCUCACCAGGGCAACGGACGGGUAGCUGGUCUGAGAGGAUGAUCAGCCACAUUGGGACUGAGACACGGACCCAAACUCCG